RNAcentral lists this ribosomal RNA (454 nucleotides) under uncultured bacterium. RNAcentral's name for it is "SSU rRNA". It matches the Rfam family "Bacterial small subunit ribosomal RNA", at positions 26 to 518 of the family's 1533-position model. The record is from RNAcentral.
AGGAUGAACGCUGGCGGUGUGCCUAAUACAUGCAAGUCGUACGGAAAGGCCCUUCGGGGUACUCGAGUGGCGGACGGCUGAGUAACGCGUGGGAACGUACCCUAAAGUGAGGAAUAACUGCCCGAAAGGGUGGCUAAUGCCGCAUAUGCUCUUCGGAGUAAAGCUUCGGCGCUUUGGGAGCGGCCCGCGUCCGAUUAGCUAGUUGGUAAGGUAAUGGCUUACCAAGGCGACGAUCGGUAGCUGGUCUGAGAGGAUGAUCAGCCAGACUGGGACUGAGAACGGCCCAGACUCCUACGGGAGGCAGCAGUAGGGAAUUUUCCACAAUGGGCGCAAGCCUGAUGGAGCAACACCGCGUGCAGGACGAAGGCCCUCGGGUCGUAAACUGUCUUUUAUUUGUGACGAUUAUGACGGUAGCAGAUGAAUAAGGAUCGGCUAACUCCGUGCCAGCAGCCGC